CCAGACUCCUACGGGAGGCAGCAGUGGGGAAUAUUGCACAAUGGGGGAAACCCUGAUGCAGCGACGCCGCGUGAGUGAAGAAGUAUCUCGGUACGUAAAGCUCUAUCAGCAGGGAAGAAAAUGACGGUACCUGACUAAGAAGCCCCGGCUAACUACGUGCCAGCAGCCGCGGUAAUACGUAGGGGGCAAGCGUUAUCCGGAUUUACUGGGUGUAAAGGGAGCGCAGGCGGCCUGCCAAGUCUGGUGUGAAAACCCGGGGCCCAACCCCGGGCCUGCAUUGGAAACUGGCGGGCUGGAGUGUCGGAGGGGCAGGCGGAAUUCCUAGUGUAGCGGUGAAAUGCGUAGAUAUUAGGAGGAACACCGGUGGCGAAGGCGGCCUGCUGGACGAUGACUGACGCUGAGGCUCGAAAGCGUGGGGAGCAAACAGGAUUAGAUACCCCAGUAGU
RNAcentral lists this ribosomal RNA (446 nucleotides) under uncultured bacterium. RNAcentral describes it as "bacterial SSU rRNA". It matches the Rfam family "Bacterial small subunit ribosomal RNA", at positions 331 to 794 of the family's 1533-position model. The record is from RNAcentral.